CAGAGAGCAACGGCCACAGGAAAGUCUCUGGGGUUGAGGGACUCGGGGGCACAAGGUUUGACCACAUAGUCAGCCCGGCCAGGCCCCAUCUGUCCUACAGUGCCCACAAAUGCCCUCACGGGGCAACCAAGAUCCUCCUGUGUCUGUAGACCCAAGAACCACAUGGCCAAGGAAGCCGAGCCGGGUUGCCACGUCCACUCCAAAACCACUUGACUACUUAAACUUCAUGAGGAAGGUGGUAGCUGCCUUGUUCUAACCACAAUCAGUAAAGCAUCCCCUUGGCUCCCAGCGUAGCCUGCACCCCACAGACUGCACAAUGUCCAGAUACCACCGCAGCCCUCUUGAAGAGGAUCUUGUCCUGUUGAUUCUAAAGAAGUAUGGUACAACUCCUGUCAAGAGUCCUAUUGCCAGAAUUUCUUCUUGUGUUCUUUUUUUCUUCCUGUUGAACCACAAAGUCAUUGGAGAAUAGAAAAAGCUUUUCAUUUAGAGGA
This is a long non-coding RNA of Marmota flaviventris (yellow-bellied marmot), 491 nucleotides long. RefSeq lists it as uncharacterized. The record is from RefSeq and is a predicted model, not a curated record. NCBI's taxonomy places the organism in Eukaryota, Metazoa, Chordata, Mammalia, Rodentia, Sciuridae.